UGGGUAACCUGCCUCAAAGAGGGGAAUAGCCUCCCGAAAGGGAGAUUAAUACCGCAUAAUAUGUUUAAGUCGCAUGACUUUAACAUCAAAGGAUUUUCUUUUAGAAAUUCCACUUUGAGAUGGACCCGCGGCGCAUUAGCUAGUUGGUGAGGUAACAGCUCACCAAGGCAACGAUGCGUAGCCGACCUGAGAGGGUGAUUGGCCACAUUGGAACUGAGACACGGUCAGACCU
This 232-nucleotide ribosomal RNA is filed under the name uncultured bacterium. Its description in RNAcentral is "partial 16S ribosomal RNA". It matches the Rfam family "Bacterial small subunit ribosomal RNA", at positions 118 to 337 of the family's 1533-position model. The record is from RNAcentral.